CAUCAUGGGAAUCCCCCGGCAGCCUACGUCUAUUGCAGCAUAACUAAGGGAGGAUUCAGGGUCACCUGGUCCAGCCCUAACUAUAUGCUUUAGCAAAAAGGAAAGUUUGAAGCCUAAUCUUGGGUUAUUAUAACGGUCUUUUUACUUGUCUCAACAAAUCAGCUGUGGAACGCCUUCAGACUGCACAGACUUUUAACUGGCACAAACAAGAGGUCACACAUUACUCCAGUUUUGACUUCUCUUCAUUGGUUGCCAGGAAAUUUUAGAGUUCAUUUUAAAACUUUUGUCGUAACUUUUUGAGCUCUGCAUGCUGAAGCUGCCCAGCGUAUCUCUGAGCUGCUGAAGCCUCAUGCUUCAUCCCGAGCACUCGGGUCUUCAGGUCAGAGGUCACUGUUGGUCCCACGCACUGGGUUCAAACCCUGUGUGGGGAUCGGGCACCGAGGGAAAGGAGGUGUUCCUGUGGUACAAGAAAGACAGCGGCAGCGCU
Astatotilapia calliptera (eastern happy) is the source of this 487-nucleotide long non-coding RNA. The record is from Ensembl. Lineage: Eukaryota; Metazoa; Chordata; Actinopteri; Cichliformes; Cichlidae.